Molecule: ribosomal RNA, 829 nt
Filed under: uncultured bacterium
Lineage: Bacteria
Description: bacterial SSU rRNA
Rfam family: Bacterial small subunit ribosomal RNA
Source: RNAcentral
GAGUUUGAUCCUGGCUCAGGAUGAACGCUGGCGGAGUGCCUAAUACAUGCAAGUCGAGCGGCAGCGCGAGUAGUUUAUUACUUGGCGGCGAGCGGCGGACGGCUGAGUAACGCGUGGGAACGUGCCCCAAAGUGAGGAAUAACUGCCCGAAAGGGUAGCUAAUGCCGCAUAUGAUCUUCGGAUUAAAGGAUUUAUCCGCUUUGGGAGCGGCCCGCGUACGAUUAGAUAGUUGGUGAGGUAAUGGCUCACCAAGUCUACGAUCGUUAACUGGUCUGAGAGGAUGAUCAGUCAGACUGGAACUGAGACACGGUCCAGACUCCUACGGGAGGCAGCAGUAAGGAAUCUUCCACAAUGGACGAAAGUCUGAUGGAGCAACUCCGCGUGCAGGAUGAAGGCCUUAGGGUUGUAAACUGCUUUUAUUUGUGAAGAAUAUGACGGUAACAAAUGAAUAAGGGUCGGCUAACUACGUGCCAGCAGCCGCGGUCAUACGUAGGACCCAAGCGUUAUCCGGAGUGACUGGGCGUAAAGAGUUGCGUAGGUGGUCAGUAAAGUGAAUAGUGAAAUCUGGAGGCUCAACCUCACAGGCUAUUAUUCAAACUCACUGACUCGAGAAUGGUAGAGGUAACUGGAAUUUCUUGUGUAGGAGUGAAAUCCGUAGAUAUAAGAAGGAACACCAAUGGCGUAGGCAGGUUACUGGACCAUUUCUGACACUGAGGCACGAAAGCGUGGGGAGCGAACCGGAUUAGAUGCCCGGGUAGUCCACGCUGUAAACUAUGGAUACUAGCUGUUGGAGGUAUCGACCCCUUCAGUAGCGAAGCUAACGCGUUAA